ACUUGUAGCUAUCAAAUAAUACUAAAAUGUUUGUAACCAGCAUUGUGAUAUAUUCUGUACUUGUAUUGCUAAAAAAUGAAUUAUUGACCCAAUAAAUAUAGUGUUCCUG
Molecule: long non-coding RNA, 109 nt
Organism: Dipodomys spectabilis (banner-tailed kangaroo rat)
Lineage: Eukaryota; Metazoa; Chordata; Mammalia; Rodentia; Heteromyidae
Exons: 4
Source: RefSeq, a predicted model, not a curated record